GGCAGCAUGGUCUAGUGGAUAGAGCACGGGCUGGAAAUCUGAAGGACCUGGGUUCUAAUCCCAGUUCUGCCA
RNAcentral lists this transfer RNA (72 nucleotides) under Ornithorhynchus anatinus (platypus). It matches the Rfam family "tRNA". From Rfam's summary of the family: Transfer RNA (tRNA) molecules are approximately 80 nucleotides in length. Their secondary structure includes four short double-helical elements and three loops (D, anti-codon, and T loops). Lineage: Eukaryota; Metazoa; Chordata; Mammalia; Monotremata; Ornithorhynchidae. The record is from Rfam by way of RNAcentral.